Molecule: microRNA precursor, 69 nt
Filed under: Aotus nancymaae (Ma's night monkey)
Lineage: Eukaryota; Metazoa; Chordata; Mammalia; Primates; Aotidae
Description: miRNA (ENSANAG00000009983.1)
Source: RNAcentral
GUGAGUAGGGGCUGGGGGAGAGCAUGGGCUGGGGUUCAGGGACACCCUCUCAGCACUGCCCUCCCCCAG